Molecule: long non-coding RNA, 1398 nt
Filed under: Medicago truncatula (barrel medic)
Lineage: Eukaryota; Viridiplantae; Streptophyta; Magnoliopsida; Fabales; Fabaceae
Description: long non-coding RNA (MTRU_LNC005304)
Source: RNAcentral
UCGCAUAUAGACAUGGCAAUGGGUCGGGUUGAGGCGGGUUUUAGCAUACCCGUCCCCGCUUCAUUGUACCUGUCCUUGCCCCCGUCUCUAAAUUCGUCGGGAUAGAAAAUUCACACCCAAACCUGCCCCCAGCGAGGACGGGUUUCCCAACCCCCCACUCGCGAAGCUGUAGCAAAAAAACAUGUUUUUUUUCUUUCACAUAUUUAAAAAAAAAAAUUAUUUAGAUAUGUACUUGCUAUGUUAAGAAGAGUAUAGAAGUAAUAUGAUUAUCAAAUAUAAGGGUAAAAAAUAAUUUAAAAUAAACGGGGCGGAUGCGGGGAUGGGUGCAGGGCGGGUUUGACUAUCCCUCGACCCCGGCCCCGCCCCCGUACUAAAGAAACGGAUUUUUCCUGCACCUGCAUCCACACCCAAUUAAAUCGACUUUUCUCUGUUAAAUACGGGGCGGGGGCGACCGGAUCUAGACGGGGGUUCAAAUGUCAUGCCUACUCGCAUAGUGGAUAUACUACAAUUAUGCUUGGAGUAGUUUAAUUUUGAACAUUAAAUAAGUUUCUUGGUCUUGUGUUUUUUGAUAAAUUUUACUAUUUUCUUAUAUUAAGAAUAGAGAGAGCAAAAUACAUACUCAGUCUCAAUUCAUUAACAACGUUUGUUGCCGUUGACGUGUUUAUUAUGGACAAGUAAGUAGUAGUAGUAAACUUGUUCUUGUUCAUCAUACAAAAGUUGACUUUUAACUUCGUAUAACGUAUUAGGCUAAUUAUAGGGUGGAGAAGUAGCAUACGGUAGAUAGUAGUGACCAAAAUAUUUCCACCAUAAUCGUGGGAUUUCUGAAGCAGCUGCUUGCAACCAUACUAGUUACUUCAGGAUCCCAAGUAAUUUAAGAGCUAUAACACUUUUCAUAUCAAGGGUCAAAGUAGCAAAUAAGAUAAAAAAAAAAAAAUUACUAUAUACAUAAAAGAAAAAAGUCAAAUUACCUGUAACCUAUCUAAAAUAUGGGAAGCAUUCCUAAACUGUGAAAUUGUCAUUAAAAAAAUAUUCCUAAACUUUGAAGCUCAUCCCACCAGAGCAUUUGUUCAGGGCAAGGGCACAGUUGGACUCAAGAAUGUCGGAGACACUAGUCAAAGGGCUAUGAAUGUCGUAUUACAUACCUCAUUGACAAGAGCAUGUCGAACUUGAAAGUUAGUAGGAGAAUAAGUAAAUAGUACUCAAUUGUGAUAUCUUUUACACUUGAAAUGAUUGCACGUAGAAAGGGCUUUGCAGUUUGCCCUUCGGUUGUGAUUUCCUUAACUCUUCUAAAGAAUGUUAUGUACGAUGUUGAGUUUUUUGUGUGCUAAAAUACUAACAAUUGCAUAAGUAAAGAUAAAACAAAAAGAUAAAUAUUAAAUCUACGAAGAUAGAUUAAUA